GACGAACGCUGGCGGCGUGCUUAACACAUGCAAGUCGAACGGAAAGGCCCUGCUUUUGUGGGGUGCUCGAGUGGCGAACGGGUGAGUAACACGUGAGUAACCUGCCCUUGACUUUGGGAUAACUUCAGGAAACUGGGGCUAAUACCGGAUAGGAGCUCCUGCUGCAUGGUGGGGGUUGGAAAGUUUCGGCGGUUGGGGAUGGACUCGCGGCUUAUCAGCUUGUUGGUGGGGUAGUGGCUUACCAAGGCUUUGACGGGUAGCCGGCCUGAGAGGGUGACCGGCCACAUUGGGACUGAGAUACGGACCAGACUCCUACGGGAGGCAGCAGUGGGGAAUAUUGCACAAUGAGCGGAAGCCUGAUGCAGCAACGCCGCGUGCGGGAUGACGGCCUUCGGGUUGUAAACCGCUUUCGCCUGUGACGAAGCGUGAGUGACGGUAAUGAGUGAAGAAGCACCGGCUAACUACGUG
This 468-nucleotide ribosomal RNA is filed under the name uncultured bacterium. Its description in RNAcentral is "partial 16S ribosomal RNA". It matches the Rfam family "Bacterial small subunit ribosomal RNA", at positions 28 to 507 of the family's 1533-position model. The record is from RNAcentral.